RNAcentral lists this ribosomal RNA (434 nucleotides) under uncultured Clostridium sp. RNAcentral describes it as "partial 16S ribosomal RNA". It matches the Rfam family "Bacterial small subunit ribosomal RNA", at positions 341 to 792 of the family's 1533-position model. The record is from RNAcentral. Lineage: Bacteria; Bacillati; Bacillota; Clostridia; Eubacteriales; Clostridiaceae.
ACGGGAGGCAGCAGUGGGGAAUAUUGCACAAUGGAGGAAACUCUGAUGCAGCAACGCCGCGUGAGUGAAGAAGUAUCUCGGUAUGUAAAGCUCUAUCAGCAGGGAAGAAAAUGACGGUACCUGACUAAGAAGCCCCGGCUAACUACGUACCAGCAGCCGCGGUAAUACGUAGGGGGCAAGCGUUAUCCGGAUUUACUGGGUGUAAAGGGAGCGUAGACGGCAAAGCAAGUCUGAAGUGAAAUCCCGGGGCUCAACCCCGGAACUGCUUUGGAAACUGUUUAGCUAGAGUGCAGGAGAGGUAAGCGGAAUUCCUAGUGUAGCGGUGAAAUGCGUAGAUAUUAGGAGGAACACCAGUGGCGAAGGCGGCUUACUGGACUGUAACUGACGUUGAGGCUCGAAAGCGUGGGGAGCAAACAGGAUUAGAUACCCUGGUA